GUAUUCAAGCGUGUCAACCGUGCGUAAUUGUGACGGAGCUGGCAACUCUACGAUACCUCCGACCUCAUUAAAACCGUCAUAUUUCUCUGUGAACGUUCAUGCACGAAGGACUUCUGUAAUUAAGCAUCAAAAUGAAUGUGAAACAGUCGCACCGUACAGGACAAACUUCACAGCACUCAGGAUGGCGCCAUCGCUGUCUGUGAAUGAGCCAGGCAGCCUCCAAGAUGUGGCGGGUUGGUGCCUGUCUGAGCCUCGCAUGACGGGCGCGCAGUGGCGCACGUGAUGCCCGCACUCAAUAUCGCCGUCCUGUACACACGGGGCAUUGUUCAUUGGUAAAUAAAAGAACCAUUCUGUGAAUUGUUACAAUGUUUAAUAAAAAAAAAAAAAAAAGUAAAUUUGACCAUACAUAAUAAAUUAAGGAGUGACCUGACACCGGCAAGUAUAGUACUGUCUGAAUACUGGAAGUUAGCUGCAUCAUGUGUUAUACUUCUCCGGGUCAAAUAAUACUCUCUAAAACCAAGUAAUGAUUUCCAUAAUCUGUCCUGGAUACAUGUGAUAAAACAAAUGAGAUAUGAAGCAUGAAUAUUACAGAACUGUUUCUCCUCCAGUUAGCAGCUUCUAUGUUAAUUGUAGCAAAACAACACUACCCUCUGAUAUUUCACAAACCUUUAGUGCAGUUCAUUAAACUUGUGUCUUCGUCACAACAAAAGAAAAAAGAGAAUGGCAGACACAAACGCAGAAAAAUUAAUAGGUCAUAUUUUUAUACUAUGAAGUCACAAAUUUCAAUCUUAUGUACAUAGUACAAAUGCCAAGUUAUUUUGACAUUGAUUUUUUUUUUAUUAAUUCAAAACAGAAACUAAAGACACACUAAGAAUGGAAUAUGAGUGUUCAUCAAGGGUUCAAAUCCCACUCCUAUUAUUGUACCUAGCUUACAAUGCACAUCAAAAUUGGUUACCCAUCAUUUCACACAAUGAAAAAUGACAAUGAAAAUGUGAUGAUAAUAGUGAUCAUGAUGAUGUCAAUGAUCAAAACUGAUAUUCACCUUACUUCCUCAAUGACAAACUUCCCAAGAAGACACACAUCAAACACCGUGAAGAUUGCCAUUCAUGCACCAUCAAGUGUUCAACACCUAGUGAUACAUAAAAGGAAGACUGGAUGACUUUCUGCAGCAUGGUUACAUAAUAAAAAAAAUUUUGUAAAUUGUUAGUCCAAUUAGUGAGACA
Long non-coding RNA from Scylla paramamosain (green mud crab), 1223 nucleotides. RefSeq lists it as uncharacterized. Lineage: Eukaryota; Metazoa; Arthropoda; Malacostraca; Decapoda; Portunidae. The transcript has 2 exons. The record is from RefSeq and is a predicted model, not a curated record.